This 452-nucleotide ribosomal RNA is filed under the name uncultured bacterium. RNAcentral's name for it is "bacterial SSU rRNA". It matches the Rfam family "Bacterial small subunit ribosomal RNA", at positions 29 to 524 of the family's 1533-position model. The record is from RNAcentral.
AGCGAACGCUGGCGGCAGGCCUAACACAUGCAAGUCGAACGCCCCGCAAGGGGAGUGGCAGACGGGUGAGUAACGCGUGGGAACAUACCCUUCGGUUCGGAAUAACUCAGGGAAACUUGGGCGUAAUACCGGAUACGUCCGUGAGGAGAAAGAUUUAUCGCCGAAGGAUUGGCCCGCGUAAGAUUAGCUAGUUGGUGAGGUAACGGCUCACCAAGGCUAUGAUCUUUAGCUGGUCUGAGAGGACGAUCAGCCACACUGGGACUGAGACACGGCCCAGACUCCUACGGGAGGCAGCAGUGGGGAAGUAUUGGACGAAUGGGCGCAAGCCUGAUCCAGCCAUGCCGCGUGAGUGAUGAAGGCCUUAGGGUUGUAAAGCUCUUUUCGGCGGGGACGAUAUGACGGUACCCGCAGAAGAAGCCCCCGGCUAACUUCGUGCCAGCAGCCGCCGUAAC